This 300-nucleotide long non-coding RNA is filed under the name Elaeis guineensis (African oil palm). Its description in RNAcentral is "long non-coding RNA (EGUI_LNC058388)". Lineage: Eukaryota; Viridiplantae; Streptophyta; Magnoliopsida; Arecales; Arecaceae. The record is from RNAcentral.
ACCACCAGAAUGAUACCAAGAAGACACUCUUCAGAUGUUUUACAACCUACAAUUUGAUUUUUGACUCCAAUAUAUAGAAAAAUCAAACCCUAGGACACACUAGCAACACUUGCUAAAAAUCUCACUACCCUUCUUGCAACUUUUUCCACUCAAUUUCCCUUGCCUUUUUUUUUUAGAUUUUUUUCAAAAUUUUUUCUAUGAUUUCCACAUCCCUUCUCUCUAGUUUCAAUCCAAAAACUCAGUAGCAAAGCCAUGUGGGAUAUCCCCUUUAAAUAAGGGACCAAGGGACGUGUCAUGGGA